RNAcentral lists this ribosomal RNA (449 nucleotides) under uncultured bacterium. RNAcentral's name for it is "partial 16S ribosomal RNA". It matches the Rfam family "Bacterial small subunit ribosomal RNA", at positions 29 to 523 of the family's 1533-position model. The record is from RNAcentral.
AACGAACGCUGGCGGCAGGCUUUACACAUGCAAGUCGAACGCCACCUUCGGGUGGAGUGGCGGACGGGUGAGUAACACGUGGGAACGUGCCUUUAGGUUCGGAAUAGCUCCUGGAAACGGGUGGUAAUGCCGAAUGUGCCCUUCGGGGGAAAGAUUUAUCGCCUUUAGAGCGGCCCGCGUCUGAUUAGCUAGUUGGUGAGGUAAAGGCUCACCAAGGCGACGAUCAGUAGCUGGUCUGAGAGGAUGACCAGCCACAUUAGGACUGAGACACGGCCCAAACUCCUACGGGAGGCAGCAGUGGGGAAUCUUGCGCAAUGGGCGAAAGCCUGACGCAGCCAUGCCGCGUGAAUGAUGAAGGUCUUAGGAUUGUAAAAUUCUUUCACCGGGGACGAUAAUGACGGUACCCGGAGAAGAAGCCCCGGCUAACUUCGUGCCAGCCGCCGCGGUAA